Molecule: non-coding RNA, 9212 nt
Organism: Elaeis guineensis (African oil palm)
Lineage: Eukaryota; Viridiplantae; Streptophyta; Magnoliopsida; Arecales; Arecaceae
Source: RefSeq, a predicted model, not a curated record
GAGGCAACUGACACCUCGACGCGACCCACCAAACUGCGUCAAGAAGACGAAGAGGAAAUAAAAGCAGAAGGCCAAAAAAAAAAAAAACUCCAUUCCUCCUUCCCUCCCCUCCCCUCUGGACUCUCUAAAUCUCUCUCUGUUCGAAUUCGAAUCCAGGGUUUUGCCUCUCCAUAUUCAUCAUCUUCUUGUUGCCGCCGCAGCUGCUGGAGAAGAAUUGGGCGAUCGAUGCCGCUGGAACUCCGUUGAUUCUGCGAUCAUUGAUCGGGCGGUCGCCGAUCCGAUGGAUAAGACCAAAAACCGGACAGAUCUCCUAGCCGCCGGCCGAAAAAAGCUCCAGCAAUUUAGACAGAAGAAGGAUCACAAGGGCGGGGGUAGCCAUGCGAAAUCCUUGAACAAGGCGAGCAGGCCUGGGAAGGACGCCGACGCCGAUGAACUGACAAAGGUUACCGAGCCAGAGCCAGAGCCAGAGCCGGAGGAUACUAAAGUUGUAUAUACCCAUGAAUCAGUGACAGUGUCCGAGCCCUUGCCUACUUCAGGCAUUGACGCUGACGAAACGGCAAAGGUGCCCGAGCCUGAUUCCAGUUUGGCUGUCGACGCUGAUGAACCAACAAAGGUGCCUGAGCCAGAGCCUACUUCAGCCAUCGAUGCUGAUGAUCUGGUGAAGGGGCCGGAGCCUGAGCUAGAGUCUACUUCGGUUGUUCAUGCUGAGGCGAGGACUGCUAAUCGAUCGGAUCCGUUAGUGGCGGUCCGAUAUGUGGAUUUACCACCUGUGCCCUCUGUUGGAGAGAGUGAUGCAGGAGUUCAGAAAGAGCAGGUAGAUUCCGAAGAGGUUCCAGUUGACGUCUCCAUUGAUGAUGGCGGCUCGAGAUCUGCCGUUAUGGUACACCAUCAGGUAGGGGCAAUGCAGGAAGCUAAAAAUUCUGGAUUGGAGCAAUGCAAUGGUGAGAGCUCAGGCAUUGGGAUGUUGAUGGUGAAGGACAGAAGAGACCAGGCUGGGGGAAGUACUGUUUUUGUGGUCCCGGACACUGACAGGUCGAAGGAGGAUCCCAUUGCUGCAGAACCCAGUUUGGGAGUUGAAGCGGCUCAAGAGGUGGACAGAAUGUCUGCUGCAACUGAAGAAAGAAUUGAGGGAGAAGAUGGUCGGACGAAUUCUAGUGGGAGAUUGGAAACAAGAUUCUCGGGGAUACAAAAUGGAAAGGAGGAUCAUGAUGCAGAGACAUAUGGGGUGAAGGAAGAAACUGUUGCCCUUGAAAGUCUACCACUUGGGAGGCCUCAAGAAGCAAAUGGGAUUUCCAUUCCUGUUGACAUAAUUCAAGAGAUGGGAACAAAAAUUUGUGAUGAGCUUCUAAAGAUUCCUAAAAGGGAAGAAAGUUUGGAAAUGCUAUCACAACUUACUUCUGACAGGACUAGUUCACUUGAAGAAAAUGCUGAUAUGCCAUCUCCAUCUCAUGUUACUUCUGACACUACAAGGGAAGAAAGCUCAGCUAUAGCUGAUGCCAGAGGGGAAGUAGGUAUUAAUGCGGAAAGUGGUAUAUGUCAACCUUAUAUUGGAGAGGUUGUUGAGGCUGAGAGUGAAUCAGCAGGGUUACUUCAAGAAGGGGCCAUUGCACCUGCAGAAAAGGUUGAGGGAUUUAAAGAAGAUGAUCCUCUUUUCCUAUCUAAGUCGACAGAUCCAGUUUUUUCCACAGGGAUGUGGUAUAUGCUGAAAAGAGUUCUGCAGGAAGGGAGCUUUGCCAAUGAGUUGGAUAGUAUUAGAAGGCACCUUUACUUAACAAUUGUUGCAAGGGAUUUUCUCCAGAUGCAAUUAGAUGAACAGACUGUGUUGACUGCAGAUUUUCACCAGCAGUCUUCUGAUGAAGUGUCCAAACUCUUGGGGUUAGUGAAAGAAGCUCAGGAAAGCAAGGCAUUGGCUAGCGAGGAGCUAGCUCAGUGUCGAUCUGAUCUCCAGGCUAUGACUAUUGCAAAGGAGGAACUUGAGAUCAGGUUUAUCUCCACAAGAGGGGAAAUUGAGUGCCUCAGUAGCAGGGCCUCUGAGUUGCAGAACAAACUUGAACAAUCACAAAAAGAGUUGGUACUUGUUUCAGCAGACUUAGCUAACUGCAGGGGUUUAGUGGAAGCUUUACAAAAUGAAAACAUGAACUUAACUGCAAGCAUCAGUUCAGAAAUGGAUCCAAGAAAAAUCCUUGAGGAGGAGAAACAGCUCUUGUCUAGUGAGAAUAUGCGACUUAAUUCUGAGUUGUCUGAACAAAAAGAGAGGUUGCUUGUUGCACUGGAUAAGCAAAAGCAACUUGAGUGCAACCUAAGGGAAACGGGGGUUUUCUUUGACCAACUUACUGAGGAAAACAUUUAUCUGUCUAGCAGUUUAGAUAUACACAAAGCUAAGAUAAAGGAGUUUGAUGUUGGGCUCUUCCAAGCCCAACAAGCUAGAGAUCAAGAAAACAAUUGUCAUGUGGAAUGCAGAGCUACUGAUAAUGCAGUUGAAGAUUCUGGGAGCAGUGUGAGGAAUUCAGUAGGGCUUCAGCAGGUUGAUGAGGAAGGUUCUGGCAGUUCUGUUGCAUUGGGAGUACUGAAGGGGCGCUUGGAAGAGGCCAAAAGCAUAUUACAAAAUCUCGAAAAAUCAAUUCAAGGGAUGCAUUCCUAUUCUGUGUCCUUAAUUAGGGCAGGUGGCAGAGCCCCAGCACCUGGAGUAUCGAAACUUAUUCAAGCCUUUGAGUCAAAAUCCCAUCAUACUGAUAAUGCAUCAGACAAGGUGUCAUUGACCGAGGGAGGGCAAUCAGAUGAUUUAUAUACACUAGCGAUGGAGCAGCUGGGCCUCUUUAGAGAUACAUUAAAGCAGGUGGAAUUGGAUGUCAGAAAGGCUGAAGUACAUAUAAUGGGAGAAUAUAAUAGCAGGGAGAUCUUUCAAAAGUAUGAGAUAGAGUGUGAAGCCCAAAGGCAACAAAAUAGUGUCCUUCAGGCAAAGAUUGUUGAGAUUGUUCAGAAGCUGUCCAAGUAUAUAAUCAGAAUAGAUGAUCUACAGAAUCAGUUUAAUGAAAUUCAGCGAUGUGCUAGUGAUGGGGAAGAGAGGCUUUUAAGUGAAGUGAAGUUGUUGCAGGAGGAAGUGAAUGACAGGGUGUCUGUUCUGCAGCAUGAAAGAGAAUCUGUUAAGGGGAUUUUUGAGGCAUUUGAAAAGAUUUUCCCAUCUGCUGGACUGCAAACUUCUGAUCUUGUUACUGAUAAGAAAGAGAGGCUCUUAAGUGAAAUACAGUCAUUGCAGAAGGAUGUGAUUGACAGGAACUCUAUUAAAGCCAUGAUUUUGGAGGGACUUGAAAAGCUUAACUCAUCUACUGGACUGCUGUUUGCAGAUAACUUAGAGAUUGGCUCCUAUGUCUCGGCUUCAGUUGAUGCUGCCAUAAGAUCAAUCGAGAGCCUGCAUGAAAAACUAAAUGCUGCUCGUCUGAACCAUGAGACACUCCAUACUUCAUACAUGGAAUUGGAUAAACUGUAUAAUGAUGUCCAAGGAAUGAACGACUUGGCAAUUCGGCAGAUGCAUAAAAUGUACAACAGCCUACAGAAGUUGUGUCCAAGUGUUGAUGAAUCUGAGAUGGAUGUUAAUGCUGAGGAAGUGCUAGAACUUCUACCAAAAAGGCACGAACUACUUAUCGAGUAUCUGCAGAAAUUGCUGGAUGAGCGGGUUCUCCACUUAUCUAAAACUAAGGAGCUAGAAUCAGGGUUAUUGAGCAAAAAUGAAGAAAUUGAGGGGCUGAGCAAGAGAUGUAGUGCUUUGGAUAAAAAGUUGGAUGACUUGUGUUAUGCUAAAGAUGAGCUUGAAAUGAUUUUGAUGAGUAAAAAUGAAGUUCUUGAUGAAGUGAACAGAAGAUGUCUUGCUCUAGCCAAGAAGUUGGAUGGCCAUGAACUGACUAAAGAUCUAAAUACCUUCCAUGGGCUGGCUGAAAUUAACAAAGUUAUUGCAAGGUCUGACAACAAGGCGAAUGACUUGAGCAAGUCUGUAUUACAACAAUUAGAGGUGUUGGUUGAUUUCCAUCUUCAGAAAUAUGAAGAGGCAAUCAAGCAGAUUAACUUGUCCAAGAAAUACUUAGAGGAAGUUAACAUCAUACCAGAAAUUUCAUCUGACAACUGGUCAUUGCCCUUGCUUACAUUGCUCAGUCAAGAAUUCAUGCCUAAGUUGCAUGAGUUACAGGAAAAAUUGGACUCCUUAAGUGCCUUAAAUCUUCAACAGGAAACUGAAAAUCAAAUCCUCAAGGAGAGCCUGCAUAAGACGGAGGAAGGUCUGGAAGCAUCUCGUUCUGAGUUGUAUUUGAAAGUAUCUGAACUUGAGCAGUCAGAGCAGAGACUUUCCUCUGUUAGAGAGAAACUCAGUAUUGCUGUUGCGAAAGGCAAAGGUUUAAUUGUGCAGCGAGACAGUCUUAAGCAGUCUCUCAUGGAGAAGUCAAGUGAGCUUGAAAAGUGCUCACAGGAAUUACAAUCAAAAGAAGACUUGCUCAUGGAAGCUGAGGCAAAGCUGAAGUCUUAUUCAGAAGCAGAUCGUAUUAAAGCUCUAGAAUCUGAACUCUCUUACAUCCGCAAUUCUACUACUGCAUUAAGAGACUCCUUUCUUUUUAAAGAUUCUGUUCUUCAGAGGAUUGAAGAAGUUUUGGAAGAUCUGGAUUUGCCAGAGGACUUCCAUUCUAAAGAUAUAGUAGAGAAAAUCGAGUUCCUAUCCAGAAUGGUUGCUGGGAAUGCCCCUUUUUCUAUUACUGAAUGGGAUCAAAGGAGAUCUGCAGGGGGCUCUCAUUCCAUUGCAGAUACUGGGAAAGAUGACCUACAGGCAAGUUCAAAUCCUGGAUAUGAUGAAUUAGAAAACAAAUAUGAGGAGAUUCAGAGAAGGUUUUAUGGUUUGGCUGAGCACAAUGAUAUGCUGGAACAAUCCCUGAUGGAGAGAAAUAGCCUUGUGCAGAAAUGGGAAGAAGCUUUGGACAGAAUUGAUAUGCCUCCACAGUUCAGGACAUUGGAGCCAGAAGAUAAGAUUGAAUGGUUAGGGAAUGCACUUUUUGAGGUCCAACAUGAAAGAGAUGCAUUGCAACUGAAGAUAGAGAACCUUGAAGACUCUUCUGAUAUGCUCAUAGUUGACUUGGAAGAGUCGCACAAAAAAAUAUCUGAACUCAGUGCAGAGGUUGUAGCUAUUAAAUCUGAGAAAGAUUUCUUUUCAGAGAGUUUGGAAAAGCUCAGGUUUGAAUAUCUCGGACUCUCGGAGAAAGCUGUUCAUGAUGAGAUUGAAAGAGAUAAUUUGCGAAAAGAACUAGCUAGCUUGCAGGAAAAAUUGGCUGGGAAGAUUGAGAACAACGAUUAUCAUGAUACUGAAAAUGAUAUCUGGAAAUUAUUUGAUUUGGUUAGCAAUGCAUUGCCAGAUAGUGAUAGGUCUGAGGCUCUCUCUGCUGGUACUGUUACUGAAUGUUUGGAAGGAUUGUUGAGGGAGCUUAUAGAUAAAUAUGCAGACCUAGCUUUAGAGAAAUCUGUGCACAAAGUUAGUGAGAAGGAAUUUGUUUCAGAGGAAAGCAAUUUGUCUCCUGAUACAAACGCAUCAACAAAUGCUCUGGAUGGCAAAGAUCAGGAACUGGUGAAUCUGAGGUUAGAGCUUGAUGAGGCUUGCUGUAAUCUGGUUUCAGUUAAGAAGGAAAGAGAUGAAGCCAUGGAGAAGUGCCAUUCUGUGAUGUUGGAAGUUGAGGAAAUAAGUAAACAGAUCAACUUAUUGCAGGAGGAGAAGACUGUUUACAUGGAGAAGUAUCAAUCUUUGUUGUUGGAAUUAGAUGCAACAAGUAAACAGAGGGAUGCUUUGCAAGAACAGCUAACUCAGGAGGAGCAAAAGUCGGCCUCUGUGAGAGAGAAGUUAAAUGUUGCUGUUAGAAAAGGCAAGGCACUGGUACAACAAAGAGAUAGCCUGAAACAAGCAAUUGAAGAGAUGAAUGUUGUGAUGGAUAACUUGAAGACUGAGCAUAACCAGCAGGUAGAAGCCCUAGAGUCUGAGAAAUCAUUAUUAAUGAAUCGGCUGACAGAAAUGGAGCAAAGUUUGCAAGACCACGGCAAGACCUUUCAUGGAUUUUUAACUGCUUUGCAUGGCAUUGAUGUUGGUUGUGAAAUUAAUGUAACUGAUCCAGUACAGAAGAUGGAAGAAAUUGGGAGACUCAGUCAUGAUUUGCGUUCAGCACUAGUUUCUUCAGAGAAUGAAGCCAAGAAAUCCAAACAAGCUUCUGAGCUUCUUCUAGCUGAGUUGAAUGAAGUUCAGGAGAGAGCUGACAUGCUUGUGGAGGAACUGGCAAAGGCAGAAGCCACUAUUACAGAGUGUUCUAGACAGAAAGAAAUUGCAGAGGCUGCAAGAAUUGAUGCUCUUAAUCGCCUGGAACAAUUAAUUCUAUUUAAUUCAGAGGAAAGAAAGAAACAACUUGACAAUUUGCUAGAGCUGAAGUCGGGCAUUGGCCAACUAAGGAAUAUUUGCUUUGAAUUUUCAAGUCUUCUUGCUAAUGUGUUUACCAGAGAUAUGAACCUCUUCUGCAGUUUGGAGAACUUUAUGGAUUCCAUUGAGAAACAGAUGAAUUGUGCUAAUUUGGCUGACCUUCCUGUUCUGUCAUCUAGCAGCCUGCUGUCAAGUAAUCCAGUAAACGAGGAGAAGUUCAAUGCCAUCAAUGCUCUGUCAGAUCCUAGGAUGCAAGAACAAUUGGAUGACUGUUCAAUAGCUGAACAUUUUGCUAUCACUAGUCAUAGUGUGUUUGAAUGCUUAAGGCAAUGUGAUGAGUUGAAAGGAAAUAUUCACAAGCACUCAUUGUCAGUCGACCAACAAGCCACACUCCUGUUGCAAAUCAUGGAGACUGUACAGAGAAAAUUAGCUUCUCAGAGGGAAGGUUCAGAUUCUCUGAAGAGAGAUUUAAAUGAUCUUGAGCUGGUGAUCAAGGAAAAGGAGAAUCAGAUUUGUUCAAUGUCUAGAAAUCUGUCUCUGCUUUAUGAAGCAUGUAGCAGUUCAAUCACUGAGAUUGAGAAUGGAAAAGUCCAAAUAGUUGAAAAUAGCCUACCUUCUGGGGAGCAUGCCUUAGAAAAAACUGGUAGAGUCUUGAAAUUACCAAGUUACACCAAUAAGCAAGAGCAUCCUGAUGGAUAUACAUAUUCCUUCACAGAUGACUGCAUCAGAUCGAUGGCUGAUAAGUUAUUAUCAGCUGUCAAGGGCACAAGCAUCGUAAAUGCGAUGGCAGGGGGUAACCAAAGGGAACUGAAGGCCACCAUAUUGGAUUUGCAGAAAGAACUACAGGAAAAGGAUAUCCAAAUGAAUAGAAUCUGUGAAGAGCUUGUAUCUCAGAUAAGGGAUGCUGAAGCUGCUACAAGGCGAUCCUCAUCAGAUCUUGAUUCUGCGAAAACAAAAAUUCAUAAUUUAGAGAAGCAGGUUGAAGUGCUGGAGAAGGAUAACAAAUUAUUGGAGCUAAGAGUACAUGAGGUAAAAGAUUUGGAGGAUUCAUUACAUGAGGUACAAGGGAAAAUUAAAUCUUUAACUGAUGCGUUGACUGCUAAAGAUCAAGAAAUUGAAGCCCUCAUGCAAGCGCUUGAUGAGGAAGAGACACAAAUGGAGGACAUGGAAAGAAAGAACACGGAACUGGAGAAUAUAAUUGAAGAAAAGAACCUCGCACUGGAGAGUCUUGAAGCUUCUCGAGCGAAGGUGGUGGCAAAGCUUUCAGUGACUGUCAGCAAGUUUGAUGAGUUGCAUAACCUGUCAGAGAGCCUUCUUGCAGAGGUGGAAAAUCUUCAGUCUCAAUUGCAAGGGCAGGAUUCAGAGAUCUCAUUCUUGCGUCAGGAGAUAACUAGGUAUACCAAUGAUUUUCUGGCCUCACAGGAGACUAACAAGAAGUACUCAUCUGAAAUAUGCAAGUUGUUAAAAUGGUUUGAUAUGGUAGUGGGACGUUUUGGGGUGCAACACAUAGAUAUUGAUGAUCAGGAGUUCAGACAAAUUCAAAUUUACACUGAUAUUUUGGACAAGAAAAUUUUGUCUGUUAUGACUGAAUUAGAUGAUCUACGAGUAACAGUUAAAAGUAAAGAUGCUCUGUUACAAGUUGAAAGGGCUAGAGUGGAAGAAUUAUCAUGCAAAUCUGAAGUUCUCGAGAAUUCUUUACAUGAGAAAGAAACACAAAUGGAGCUUGUACAAAGAAAUUCUGGUCAGUCUUCUAGUGUGAACUCCCCACGGUCUCUAGAGAUUGAUCAAAUGAAAAACAAAGUAAGCUCAGGUGCGGUUGUUACGCAUGUCCGCAGUGGGCGCAAAGUCAAUAGUGACCAAAUAGCCAUAGCUAUAGAUACAGAAAAUGAUAAUAAUAUGUUAGUUGAUGAGGACGAUGAUAAAGCACAUGGCUUCAAGUCACUUACUAUGUCUCGCUUUGUUCCAAGAACCACUCGGCCUAUAGCAGACAGGAUUGAUGGAAUAUGGGUAUCAGGUGAAAGGCUGCUUAUGAGGCAACCUACCUUACGGCUUGGAUUUUUGAUAUAUUGGGUUGCAUUGCAUGCAUUACUUGCUAGUUUCAUCUGAAAGCAAUGUCAUCACGACAAUCUAAAUUACCUGAAGCGGGAGCAAGUUUGACACAGAUAAUGAGGAACACGAAGGCCUUUAGAAGAUUUCAGUAAGGAAGCGCUUCAUAAUUCUCUUGGAUACUAUAUGGGGCAAGCCGAUGGCCUUUCCCCUCCCAAGUCCAUCAGCAAUGAUGCAUUCAGCUCUGUAUAGGCUCUUGAUUCUUUCCUUUAAAUAUGAGACAACACAUAUGGUCUACCAUACAAUUGUUUUGGCUAUUUUGGCAGCUGUGGUUUCAUCACCAGUUUUUUUUCGAAUUAUGAUUCCCAGUUGGCCUUGGUGGCAUUCAAUAAAGCAAUCAACAUCCCAGUACACAGAAGCUUGUGAAGAAUGAGCCCCGGCAUCCCCUGUAAAUUAGAAUCAUUCUUUUUGUUUUUUUUAUAUAGAUGAAAGCUUGCAUCAUCAUCAUAUGUUACACAGGAAACAAUAAAACAAUAGCAAGACAUUUGGGCAGUUUGGUGACCGCUAGUUCUUGUCCUCAAAUAUUUUCGUGUUGUCAAAAGGAAAUUUGUGAUCAUUUUUAGGAGGUUCCUGAUAGUGAUUUAACUAAAUGAUGUCUGCUGUGAAUGCUUCUUUUUUUUUUCUUUCCUUUUUUUCUUGCAGUUAAUAAAUUAAGUUGCUCUGGUCUUCGUUCCCA